AAGAGUGCGCGCGCAGGUGGGCGUGUCUGGGAGCUCUCGAGGAGCUUCUAGCCCGGCGCUCCUAUACCUGAGCUAGUCUUCUUUUGCCCCGCCCCUUUCCUCGCGUUAGAGUCAGUCGCCCAAUCUCGGCGCCCUGACCACGCAUGCGCUCUCUGAUGCCUCUGAUCCUCCCUCAAGAUCUGUCAGUGUUCGUGCGUUUUCCGGUACCGCGAUGCUUCCGUGUUGUCUACACCUGCGAGCAAGCCGUGAGAAAGGAAGUCGAGGUUCAGUGAACGGACGGAUCGUUUGGCCUGUUUUUGUUUUCUCAAGGCUUAGUUAUGACACUCUCUUCCUCUUAGACUGUUUGACUUCAGAGGCCUUAGGUGUGCGUCCGUCUUCUCUCUGGCGUCAGCAUCGCAGGGGCGGUCUUUGUUCAAGCCCAUUCAUCUUUUGUGAAGUCAGUUCAAGACCUUUGCCCUUGUUGUAUUCGUGUUGGUCUUACCAUUGAAUGCGGGAGUUCAGAGUACAAAUGUUUUGUUAAACAAAUGUAGACUUGGGUUGCUUCCAUCAUUUGGCUAUUGUGAACAAUGCUCCUGUGAAGAUGAGUGUGUAAAUAUCUCUGAGAUCCUGCUUUCAAUUCCUUUGGGCAUAUACCCAGAAGUAGAAUUGGAAUGACACCCAGGAAGAUGUAUUUGUACACCAGAUUGCCAUAAAGAAGAAUAACUCCGGGAAGCACCUAUGCGAGGAAGAUGGAG
Molecule: RNA transcript, 734 nt
Organism: Mustela erminea (ermine)
Lineage: Eukaryota; Metazoa; Chordata; Mammalia; Carnivora; Mustelidae
Gene name: Y-box-binding protein 1-like
Exons: 3
Source: RefSeq, a predicted model, not a curated record